AAAGCUUUGAACUUCUUAAUCAUUUACUAUCUAAUUUAACGUUUAAGAAUUAAUUGUAUUAAUUUUGGAUAAUUUGACAUUGUAAAUAAUUUUUGAACAAGGGCCCUGCAUUUUCAUUUUCCAGUGGGUUCUGCAAUGUAUGUAGCUGAUCUUGCCACUGUACUACUGUGUGCAUGGGAAGGUUUCAAGAAACCCAUCAAACACAGUGCCCGUAGAGACAAAGACACACAGGACGCGUCUGAACAAAAGCGUGGUCUGCCUCACUCAGCCAGUCUCAAGGGAGAGAGGAACUGUGGCUGCAGUUUCCCGAAUUAUCCAAAUUAGGACUCAAAAGAAGAGAGUUCUGAGGCCCAGCAACUCUGAGAAAAUCCUGAAAAACCUUGUGAUAAAAAGUUCAACACAAGUCAUUGGUUGGGAGUAGAAGGCACUCUGCAUGGUCGUCUGGAACCAGGGUUUGCCCACCUGAUGGGUCUCCAUUUGCCCCGGCCUCGGACUUCUCCACUGGAUGCUCUGAUUUCACUUGAUAGAUCUGCACGGAACAAUGCGGCUUCUCUGCAUGACUGGAGUUUGUUUUGUCUUUGAAGAUAAUCUCACUAGGAUCCAGACCAUACCUGCUGGAGAGUCAGGACUCUGGAUUUCUGACUGUUUUGAGGACAGGUACUCUCAUCCUAGGCUGAUCUGAGUUUCUGGGUCUUUCUCUGCCUGUUCUUUCCUCUCCCCUUCCCUUCUCUGCUGCAGAAAGUGUUUUAUGUGGGUGUCAGCAACAUCAGGACCUUUCAAACCCCUUGCCCCAGUAUCAUCCCUGAAUGCAAAACUCACUUAGAGGCCUAGGGAAGAGAUUAGAGCUCUGCUUUUCCUCUGCCACCUCAGGUGUAUUCUAGCUUACAAGACACUUUCACAGAAAAAAAAAUUCAGGGAAUGGAAUGGGAAGGCAAAAAUAGCUGCUUGAUGCUGACUUGGCACAUUGACUUCGACCAAAUCACCCAGCGCCUCCUCCUUAGUACUCUGGUGACCACAGAAUAAUCCUCGCGCAGUGAGUAGUGGAAGUCAGGAGGAGUAAACUGCCUAGAUGUCAUGAAGGGAAAGCAAUAGACUUGUGCAAAGUCUAUUCUUGUCCGUUUCCCUGUGAAUCCAGGUUGCUGAACAUCGGCCGAUGUCUGAGCUGUGGCUUCCUCCUGGUUUUGAAAUUUAGUUACUAGAAGACAAUGCUUUUGAAUGGCUUCUUUGCCAUGACUUUCACAGGUCCUGCUGGCUGUUGCCUAAUGAAUGUCUGAUAGGCCUAGCCCCUUGGCAAAGCAAUGUUUUAUUUGCCAAAUUAUGCUUGUCCAGUGCCUCCUGGGAACUGAAAGCCUGGCAUCAGCAGAGGAACGCAAACCGGGCAAAUCACGGAUCUCCAAGGCUUGCAUUGCUUGGGGGCCAUGGCACACAGCACUGCUAAAAGCCUAGGACAAUCUGUGUGUUUUAGGAGCAAACCGAUGCCUCGCACUUCUAAACUGUAUCCUUUGCUCCCUCCCUGAGAGGCAGCCGUGUGCUCUGGGCUUCCUAGGUAAGUGACUCACACGAACUAUAAGCCUGGCUUAUGACCUAGAAAAGGAAACAGGAAGUGGCUUAGAGACAUAAAGAGCACAGCCCAGGAGGGGCUGCCAUGGAAUUCUCCUCAGAUGAGAAAGGGUCCAAUGGGCAGAGGAGCAACUUGGCAUCCUCUCUUUCCCCGCGUUACCACAAUGCCCUUGGCAGGGACCAUUUGAUGGGGAGUCGGAUGUCUUCCUGGGGGUGGUGAACAGGGGUGAGGGAGGGGGAACUGCUGCUGGGUCAGUAGCUCCUCUCCAGAGUGAGCCCAUCAGUGGAAUGCCAUGCCCCUUCUCUAUCCCAUCUUUGCAAGUGGGCUUGGGUUCUUGGGAUGAGUUUCAUCAGGCCUUAUACAUGCAGACUGUGAAGAGGUGCCUCCAACAAGAAAAACCAGUCUCUGGCAGGUCCUCUAAGGGCAGGGAUUCUGGAGAGGCCGCCCUGUCCUCAGCUUGGCCCUGGCACAUUCUGGCUGCAGGUAAGAUGGCUGCAGCAGAGGGAGGGGAGGGGCCUCCCUGUUGAUGGAGACCACCAUGCAGCGCUUCACUAUGCUUCCCUUUCUGACUCUCCCAGGGAGGAAGGGUGGCUGGCGGCUGGCGGCAGGGCUUGUGGAGGCUCAGUCCUGGGCCUGGUCCUGCUUCUCUUAGAGGUGGCUGGUUGUGCAAUGGCAUCCCGGCUGCUCCUCUUGGAUCCCUAUGACCACAGUUCCAGGCUCCACCCCCAUUUCUCACCACCAGUGGUGAGAAAUGGAAUUUUUUGUUUUGUGUUUUUAUGCUGUUCCCAUAACACCCAGCACCUAUCCCCAAGGAUGAGUCCUGAAGACCCGUAGCCAUGGCAGGGCAGGGCCUAGGUACUGAAGGAGGAUCCCACUCAGAGGCCAGUUCCACCCACUGCAAAACACCCUCUGAGGACCCUCACUAGACCAGUUCCUCAAAGUGCGGUCCGCAGGCUGCCAUCAGGAGAAUCAUGGGGUGAGGAAGGGGCUGGUAAAAACACGGGUUCUUGGCCCCCUCUGCAGACCUCCAGAAUCUAACCCUCUCAGGAAAAGUCCUGGAAAUCUGUGUGUCUAGAAGCACUUUCUUCUCCAGGUUGGUCAGCUCAGAAAUGUCUAAAUACUUUUCUCAAUACCAAUCCCGGUCUCAUUUAUUAUCCUUCUCAUGAAAAUGAUUUGCUUCCUUUCAACCUUGUAUGACCUCUGAAAAUAUGACCUAAAGCAGAGGGUCAUAUUUUCUCAUGCACUCACAUAAGAAACAUCACCUGUGGCCUUCAUUGGCAAGCAUGGAUUGCUGUUUUCAAUCAGGAGCUUUGAAAGAAGACACUUUUGAUCAUCGGUCUGCCUCUAUCUGCCUUUUCACUGAGUUGUCACUAUUAAAUGCCCUUCCCUGGCUUUGCCUUCUCUCUUCUCCACCAGAAAAUGGGCCUGCUGCUCUAAGAGGUUGGACUCUUGGAGUCCUCUAGCACAGGGCCCAUGAAAAUCAAUGACUUCCUUGUUUGCUGAUGGAGCAGAGGUAGAAUCUCUUGGUGUUUCCACAGAGAAAAUGCUGACUGUGAAGAGCCGAGAAAGAUGACAUGAUGAAGCCAUCAGGGGAGGCACCAAACAUCCUCAACUCUGCUCAUCUAUGGUUUUCUCCAGCCCUCCCAGAGCUCCUCCUGCGUGAGUAAUGCAGUGUGUGCUGGUCAAGUGUCUCACUGAAAAAAGAAAGAAAUCCUGAUUUGCAGCAUUGGCCAAUUUCUGUAGUGUAAAUACUCCCACCAUGGCAGAUUUCAGGUUACCAAGGGUUUCACAACUGGUUCACAAGUCUUGACUGUAAUGACCAGCUCAUGCAACUCCAGCACCUCAUCAUCUCCGCCCUGUCCCAGAAAAUCCCCACAUCACACCCAGGCUGAAUAUCACUUUCAGCUUCUCAGUCAGAAGGAGAAGUGGUUAAAUAUACCAGGAUGGUAAUGACUAAGUAUCAGAAUGGUGAGUGUGGAGGGUCAGGAUGUCUGCCAAAUUGGAGAUGACUCUUCACUUCUCAAUCUUGGUGUCUCAUCUGGGGAAGUUGGAGGGAGACAUGCACAGCUUCUCAUGAACAGUCCUGGAAGCCCUUACCCCAAGGCCUCACGGGGCUCUCUCCAGGGCUUGCUCUUUCUCACUCUCUACUUUAAAAGCCUAUGAUUCAUUGCCAGAGAACAGAAGGCUCCAGCCUAAUGGGCCAAGUUGCAAACGGCGGGAAUGGGGGCUGUCUAGACUCUGGGUCCUGCCUUUUGUCUUGGCUGGUGUCAAAAUGAACUCUUUAAAAACUGGCCUAAGAAGAUUCCCCAUCGAACAACCAAAGACUGAACAGCCUGGACUGACCUUUUUCUAAUUUUUAGGGGUCUUGUGAACAGGAGUUAGGUGGGCGGGCAGCUCUUGUAAAGCUAAGUGUAACCAAAUUUGUCCAUAGCCUAUGACAGCAAAGAUCACAAAACUCUUGCUUCCCCUUUAGGGCCUGGGAGUGACGCUGAGUGACGCCAAACCGAGGGGAGAAUGGUGACCUAUUUUAUCUCCCAAACAUUGGGCAGUCAGUUGCAUUCGCAGAUUUAAAAUCCACCCACACUGCUGCAGUUUCUGUUCUCCUGCCCCCCAGGCAUACUUCUGGCUGGAGCUGGUUUUGUAAAGUGGAGUUGGCCGUGGGUGUGGGAGUCCUCCUCGGAGAGCCUGGUCUGACAGCCCCAGUCCACAGCCCUCCCAUGGGCUUUUGGGCUGCUCCAGUCCUGGCAGGUGCACAGCACAGGGGAAUCUGGUUUUGUCCUGGUCUCAGCUGGGGAAGUCUAGUUAAAGAAAGAAAAGAUCAGCUGGGUGCAGUGGCUCACACCUGUAAUCUCAGCAC
Cercocebus atys (sooty mangabey) is the source of this 4418-nucleotide long non-coding RNA. RefSeq lists it as uncharacterized. The record is from RefSeq and is a predicted model, not a curated record. The transcript has 4 exons. Lineage: Eukaryota; Metazoa; Chordata; Mammalia; Primates; Cercopithecidae.